GACAGUUCGGUCCCUAUCCGUCGCGGGCGCAGGAAAUUUGAGAGGAGCUGUCCUUAGUACGAGAGGACCGGGAUGGACACACCGCUGGUGUACCAGUUGUUCCGCCAGGAGCAUCGCUGGGUAGCUAUGUGUGGCAGGGAUAAACGCUGAAAGCAUCUAAGCGUGAAGCCCCCCUCAAGAUGAGAUUUCCCAUUUCUUCGGAAAGUAAGAUCCCUGAAAGAUGAUCAGGUAGAUAGGUUUGGAGUGGAAGUGUAGCGAUACAUGGAGCGGACAAAUACUAAUCGAUCGAGGACUUAACCAAAA
This 303-nucleotide ribosomal RNA is filed under the name Listeria monocytogenes. Its description in RNAcentral is "bacterial LSU rRNA". It matches the Rfam family "Bacterial large subunit ribosomal RNA", at positions 2625 to 2925 of the family's 2925-position model. The record is from RNAcentral. Lineage: Bacteria; Bacillati; Bacillota; Bacilli; Caryophanales; Listeriaceae.